This 418-nucleotide ribosomal RNA is filed under the name uncultured bacterium. RNAcentral describes it as "bacterial SSU rRNA". It matches the Rfam family "Bacterial small subunit ribosomal RNA", at positions 34 to 455 of the family's 1533-position model. The record is from RNAcentral.
GAAUUCACUAGUGAUUCAGGCCUAACACAUGCAAGUCGAGCGAUUCUCUUCGGAGAAGAGCGGCGGACGGGUGAGUAACGCGUGGGUAACCUGCCCUGUACACACGGAUAACAUACCGAAAGGUAUGCUAAUACGAGAUAACAUACUUUUAUCGCAUGGUAGAAGUAUCAAAGCCCCGGCGGUACAGGAUGGACCCGCGUCUGAUUAGCUAGUUGGUAAGGUAACGGCUUACCAAGGCGACGAUCAGUAGCCGACCUGAGAGGGUGAUCGGCCACAUUGGAACUGAGACACGGUCCAAACUCCUACGGGAGGCAGCAGUGGGGAAUAUUGCACAAUGGGCGAAAGCCUGAUGCAGCAACGCCGCGUGAGCGAUAAGGGCCUUCGGGUCGUAAAGCUCGUCCUCAAGGAAGAUAAUGAC